RNAcentral lists this ribosomal RNA (407 nucleotides) under uncultured bacterium. RNAcentral describes it as "bacterial SSU rRNA". It matches the Rfam family "Bacterial small subunit ribosomal RNA", at positions 29 to 426 of the family's 1533-position model. The record is from RNAcentral.
AACGAACGCUGGCGGCGCGCCUAAUACAUGCAAGUCGAGCGAGAAGACGUAGCAAUACGUUUGUAAAGCGGCGAACGGGUGAGGAAUACAUGGGUAACCUACCCUCGAGUGGGGAAUAACUAGCCGAAAGGUUAGCUAAUACCGCGUACGCUCCUUGGACUUCGGUUCAGGGAGGAAAGCGAUACCGUGGGUAUCGCGCUCUUGGAUGGGCUCAUGUCCUAUCAGCUUGUUGGUGAGGUAACGGCUCACCAAGGCUUCGACGGGUAGCUGGUCUGAGAGGACAAUCAGCCACACUGGCACUGCGACACGGGCCAGACUCCUACGGGAGGCAGCAGUAAGGAAUAUUGCGCAAUGGGCGAAAGCCUGACGCAGCGACGCCGCGUGGGGGAUGAAGGUCUUCGGAUUGU